Molecule: long non-coding RNA, 3525 nt
Filed under: Canis lupus familiaris (dog)
Lineage: Eukaryota; Metazoa; Chordata; Mammalia; Carnivora; Canidae
Description: lncRNA (ENSCAFG00040021791.1)
Source: RNAcentral
UAACCUAUAAAAAUGGCAGUUUCAUGUGAUUGAACUUAAUUGCAAUUUUUCUCUUUUGUUUUUAUAGGGCAUCAAAGUUAUUAUGUAUGGAACCCUAACCUCAAAGGAUUACUCUGGAGAUUUCCUUUUAAGGUGAUGGAAAUAUUCUAAAAUUGGAUUGUGGUGAUGGUUGCACAAUUCUAUAAGUUCACUAGAAAUCAUUAAAUCAUACAUUUAGAAUGAGUGUAUUUUUGGUAUGCAAAUUAUAUCUUACAGCUGUUAAAAGGACUGAAGGAGCUCACUCAGGACACGCACGUGGUUGGGGUGGAAUUUGGUGUUUCCCACUGUCCUUUUUAGUGGGGUGUCUCACAGCAUCCUUGGGAGGUGAGAUGUUCUCAACUUGGAGUCCUGCCUUGAAGCCCAUUUGCCCUUAUCGUUGCCUGGAGACAUUGCACCAAAGUUACUAAGGUGGAUCAAAGGCUUUUCCUUUUCUACUGGGGGCGAGCGCAUUGGGGGCUGGGGAUUGGGGCUGGUGGCCAAGGAGGGCCUAACUUCAUUGGUAAGGUUCUGAUUAUUUUACCAGGAGAAUGGCUUUGUGUGUUAUUUGUGUAAUUAAAAAUUAAGCAAAGGAAUAAUGUGAACACUUAGGUCUUCGACAUUCACAUAAAUGGAUGUCCUAAAUACAAUAAUAUGCAUUGAAUUGAACUAAACCCAAAAGACAACAAACACUCUGCUUUGGUGUUUUGUCAGAGAGGUUUUCCCUCUCAUUUGCUCUUGCCUUUGAUCAAUGGUACUUGAUAAUAUCAAACCACUUUUAUUCAAAUUGUAUCUUAACAGAUAUGAAAUUUGUCUUCCUAAUAUCUUGUGUGACAAGAAGUCCCAAGGAAUUGAUUAGAUGUAUUCUUCUACUCAUAAUACAUAGUUUUAAUUACUGCAGCUCAUUUAAAUUGGUUAUUCUUGUGUGCUAAUUUUUUUCAGAUAAGCUUUAAUAUUAAUUUUUUCAUGUUACCUACCUACUAAAAGACUCAUUUGGAUUUUGACUGAAAUUGAAUUAAAUUUAUUCUUUUAAUUUUGCUAGAAUUGGCAUUUUAACUAUAAUUAUUCUUUCCCUCUGUAUAUCUCUUCAUUUAUUAUUGUCUUCUUAAAGGUCUUGAGAAGGAUUCUUUAGUGUUCUUUAUGUGAGUCCUCCACAUUUUUAGUUGAUUCCUUGGUUUCUAAUACUUUGUGCUACUAUUGUGAUUACCAUAUUUCUUUCUCAUUAUGUUUCCUAACAUAUAAUUUAUGAUAUAUCAGUGAAUUAAUUCAUUACUAUUCUGCAACUAUGAAUAGGGAAACCAUUUGUUCUGCAUACUUAUUCUGUAACUGUACCUCUGAUUAAUAUUUUUAUUAUUAAGUUUGGGGUUACUAGGCAUAUACUACUGGUUACGAUAAUUUUGAGCCUUCAUUUACAAAGUAAUUGUGGCAAUUUAAAAACAUGUAUGCAAAUUAUUUGAUACUCCUUUUAUAAUGAGGAUGAUGUCCUCUUCCUUUGAAUAAAGAUUGAUCUCAGUGAAUCCCUUACAACCAGUAGAAUCUAACAUAAGUGAUGUGGUAUAACUUUGAAGGUCAGGACAGAAAAGGUCACUUAGUUUCCACCAGAAAUCGUGGGAUAUUCCUCUGGGUGAAGUCAGGGGCUAGACCAUGAGUCUGAUGGCCCUGAGACUACCAUGCUGUAGAGGCCCAUGUAGACAUGUUCUUUGAUAGCCCAACUGAUCUCCUAGCCAACAGCCAGUAUCAACAGUAGCCAUGUGUAUGAGCCAUCUGGAACAUCCCACCCAGUGAAGGCUUAAGAUGACUAUAACCCUAACCGACAUCUGAUUGUACUGAUAGGAGAAAUCCUAAACAAGAACUGACCAGGUGACCCCUCCCUGAAUCCCUGACCUGGGAAUCAUAAACAAAAUAAAAAUGGUUGUUUUGGGUGAAUUUUUUGUACAGUAAUGGUAACCUUAGUAGUAAUCUCUCUUUUUGCUUGCCUAAUUGCAUUCGCUGCAUUGACAUCAGCCAAAAAAUUAGAUAAUAGCAAUGAUGUAGGCAUUUAUGAUUUAAUAGAAAUAUACUUACCUUUUUUUCUAUUAUUGAAUACAUUGACUAUUAGGCAUUUUAUAGUCAUAUAGAACUCCAGACACUCGCUUGCUAAGUACCACAAAUCUCUCCAAGUCCAAGUAACCCCCAGAAGCAACUGUCCUCCUUGUGAUUUAGUGAUCUGGGCUGAUGGGGGCUCCUUGCUCUUAUAGCUGCAUCAUCUGGAUCAUUGGACCUCCUUGACUGAUGAGGUAGGGAAGAAAAUGCUGUAGAGUCUAUUACCAACAAUUAGAUACUUUGGCAUAGAAUUGAUACAUAUCAAUUCUGCUCAAGCUGAUUGGCCAGGAUUUGUCACACAACCCCACUAAUUUCAAGGAGAGUAAGAAGGUGUAAUCUUCCUUUAUGUCUGGAUGGUAAGGAGAAGUAGAUAUAGGUAAAUUCUAGUAAUGCCAACCACUCAUUAUUUUAUCUUCCUGUGCUAAAAAACUGUCUUAUAAUUACUAGCUUACUGAGACUUUCAUAUUUGAUCAGAAACUGAUACUGAAUUUUGACAAAUGUUUUUUUCAGUAUUUAUUAAGAUGAUUAUAUGCCUGUCUUUUUCAAUCUAUAGACUUCCUAAUACUGAAUUAUUCUUGGAUUCCUGGCACACAGGCUACUUGGGCGUGGCGUAUUAUUUUUAAAAAGCAGCUAACUAUAAAAUUUGGUAAAAAUCUUUGCAUUUAUACAUGUGACUGGUCUAAAAGUUUUAGGGGUGUGUGUGUAUGUGUACUUUUUCAGAUUUGGUAUCUAUGCCAUUUUAGCUUCAUAAUAUUCAUAAUAUAAGUUGGGAGGCUUUCCUUCAUUUGCAUUGUUCUAGAAUAGUACAUACGGCACAAGAAUUACAGUUUUGUUCGAAAGCUUGAACAAGUGCACUCAUAAAACUAUUUGUUCUUGUAUCUUUUAGGGAAAAAUUAACAGUGUAAACAUUUUUUUUCUGAUAACUGAUCUACUCAGCAUUUCUAUUUCUUGAGCCAAUUUUGGUAACAUUCAUACUUUUCCAAAAUGAUCCACUUGAUCAAGAUUUUAAAAUUAGUCUCCACAGUUGUUCAUAAUAUCCUUUUGUAGUGUAUAAUUUCCCUUUUCACUAUAAUAUCCCUUUUCUAUUCCCUAAAUUUCCAAAUUUUGAAUAUUUGUGUUUUAUUUUGGUGACCAUUGUCAGCAAUUUGUUUUGUUGGAUGCAACAAUAAAAAAUUUCUUGGACUCAGUUAUGAAAUCUAGUGUUUUUCUGCAUUUGUAUUCAUUGUACAAUGUCUUCCUAUCCCUGGCAAGAACCUUGAUUUCAUGGACAGUCACUUUCUCUGAUUUCUCAAAGUGAACCGUGGCUUUGAACUCUUGCAUCUUUUCAUGUGUCUGGCGAUGUUUUCCUGUUUAUUCAUCCUUAUAAGUGGAGUUCUGAGCUUGCUCAGAGUCGGGAGCUGCCAGAAAACACGGUGGGGGAAGAAGAGG